GUCAGAUCAGAAGGAACCAGAUAUCUACAUGCAACAUUACAUCACAACUAAUGAGAAUUUUAUUAUACAGAAGCCAAACGCAAUCUGCCAGACACAAGAAAGUACAAUAAAGGUGACAAAUUGAAAGGAAAACCUAACAUUUCAGCUUCAAUCUUCUAAGCAAUAACUCUUUCAAAAUUAGAAGCAACUUUCUAGAAAGCUUUAAGUGAAUAGACAUAAACACACAUGCAUAUAUAUGCAAUUUGUUUAUGGUCUACGAAGUACGAAGAUAACAAUACAUAAAAACCCACAAAAAGUUAUGCAGCAUAAAAUCAUGUUCUCUACCAUAUUCACAAAGACCAUGCUAUACCAUGAGAUUUUACUAAGACAUCAAAGUAUCCAUCUCUAAAAUCUAAAUUCAAGAGGCAUUAACUACUUAUGCUUUCCAUUGAGUUGUUUAGCACACAAUUUUAUAGCAAGUUGCAUACACACAAAUUUGUCAUCAGCUAUCUAUUCCAAUGCUAGUCUAAUAUAUUCAAAUCAAAAUGCACUUUAUUUAUAACACUUGAAGAGACAGCUUCACUGGACAUCCAAACUACAAUUCUCUUGAUUUCCAUAAAUUUCAUCCAGCUUAUUUUAUUGUAAAUUUAACGGCUCUUUAUUUAAACUGCAGGAGGAAAAAGAUCUUUAAAACAAAGUUGCAGGACAGAACAAGUCAAAGAGGAAACUUAGCAAUGUAGACAUCACUAACUUCUUUUUGUCAAUG
This 745-nucleotide unclassified non-coding RNA is filed under the name Hevea brasiliensis (rubber tree). The record is from RNAcentral. Lineage: Eukaryota; Viridiplantae; Streptophyta; Magnoliopsida; Malpighiales; Euphorbiaceae.